RNAcentral lists this ribosomal RNA (497 nucleotides) under uncultured bacterium. RNAcentral describes it as "partial 16S ribosomal RNA". It matches the Rfam family "Bacterial small subunit ribosomal RNA", at positions 28 to 507 of the family's 1533-position model. The record is from RNAcentral.
GAUGAACGCUGGCGGCGUGCCUAAUACAUGCAAGUCGAGCGAACAGACGAGGAGCUUGCUCCUCUGACGUUAGCGGCGGACGGGUGAGUAACACGUGGAUAACCUACCUAUAAGACUGGGAUAACUUCGGGACACCGGAGCUAAUACCGGAUAAUAUAUUGAACCGCAUGGUUCAAUAGUGAAAGACGGUUUUGCCGUCACUUAUAGAUGGAUCCGCGCCGCAUUAGCUAGUUGGUAAGGUAACGGCUUACCAAGGCAACGAUGCGUAGCCGACCUGAGAGGGUGAUCGGCCACACGGGAACUGAGACACGGUCAAGACUCCUACGGGAGGCAGCAGUAGGGAAUCUUCCGCAGUGGGCGGAAGCCUGACGGAGCAGCGCCGCGUGAGUGAUGAAGGUCUUCGGAUCGUAAAACUCUGUUAUUAGGGAAGAACAAAUGUGUAAGUAAAUAUGCCCGUCUUGACGGUACCUAAUCAGAAAGCCACGGCUAACUACGUG